This 441-nucleotide ribosomal RNA is filed under the name uncultured bacterium. Its description in RNAcentral is "bacterial SSU rRNA". It matches the Rfam family "Bacterial small subunit ribosomal RNA", at positions 29 to 524 of the family's 1533-position model. The record is from RNAcentral.
AACGAACGCUGGCGGCAGGCUUAACACAUGCAAGUCGAACGACAUAGUGGCAGACGGGUGAGUAACGCGUGGGAACGUACCCUUCACUACGGAAUAGCUUCUGGAAACGGAAGGUAAUACCGUAUACGCCCUCCGGGGGAAAGAUUUAUCGGUGAAGGAUCGGCCCGCGUUAGAUUAGUUUGUUGGUGGGGUAAUGGCCUACCAAGACUACGAUCUAUAGCUGGUCUGAGAGGAUGAUCAGCCACACUGGGACUGAGACACGGCCCAGACUCCUACGGGAGGCAGCAGUGGGGAAUCUUGCACAAUGGGGCGAAAGCCUGAUGCAGCCAUGCCGCGUGAAUGAUGAAGGCCUUAGGGUUGUAAAAUUCUUUCGCCAGGGAUGAUAAUGACAGUACCUGGUAAAGAAGCCCCGGCUAACUUCGUGCCAGCAGCCGCGGUAAU